AGUAGUUUUUUAAUUGGAAACUGGAAUGAAGGAAGUGAUGAGAUUUAUACUGUCUCAAAUUAAAUUAUUGAAUUUAUUAAUUAAGUAAAAAUACUUAGAUAAAUUUAUGGGACGAGAAGACCCUAUAGAAUUUUAUAUAAAUUUGUUAUAAAUGAAUUAGUUGUAGGAUUGAUGAUUUUAUAUUUUAUUGGGAGGAUAGGUAAAUUAGAUAAACUUUAGUUAAUAAUAGACCAUUAAUUUAUGAUUUAUUAGUAAUGAGUGAUUAGUUAUAAAUUUAAGAAGAAUUAAUUACCUUAGGGAUAACAGCAUUAUAUCUUUAAAGAGACCUUAUUAAUAAAGAUGAUUGU
RNAcentral lists this ribosomal RNA (347 nucleotides) under Pheidole allarmata. RNAcentral describes it as "partial 16S large subunit ribosomal RNA". Lineage: Eukaryota; Metazoa; Arthropoda; Insecta; Hymenoptera; Formicidae. The record is from RNAcentral.